UACGGAGGAUCCGAGCGUUAUCCGGAUUUAUUGGGUUUAAAGGGAGCGUAGGUGGAUUGUUAAGUCAGUUGUGAGAGUUUGCGGCUCAACCGUAAAAUUGCAGUUGAAACUGGCAGUCUUGAGUACAGUAGAGGUGGGCGGAAUUCGUGGUGUAGCGGUGAAAUGCUUAGAUAUCACGAAGAACUCCGAUUGCGAAGGCAGCUCACUGGACUGCAACUGACACUGAGGCUCGAAAGUGUGGGUAUCAAACAGG
This 253-nucleotide ribosomal RNA is filed under the name uncultured bacterium. Its description in RNAcentral is "partial 16S ribosomal RNA". It matches the Rfam family "Bacterial small subunit ribosomal RNA", at positions 524 to 776 of the family's 1533-position model. The record is from RNAcentral.